GACGAACGCUGGCGGCGUGCCUAAUACAUGCAAGUAGAACGCUGAAGGAGGACCUUGCUUCUCUGGAUGAGUUGCGAACGGGUGAGUAACGCGUACUUAACCUGCCUGUUAGCGGGGGAUAACUAUUGGAAACGAUAGCUAAUACCGCAUAAUAGCAGUUAUUGCAUGAUAUCUGUUUGAAAGCUGCAAUUGCACCACUACCAGAUGGACCUGCGUUGUAUUAGCUAGUUGGUGGGGUAACGGCUCACCAAGGCGACGAUACAUAGCCGACCUGAGAGGGUGAUCGGCCGCACUGGGACUGAGACACGGCCCAGACUCCUACGGGAGGCAGCAGUAGGGAAUCGUCGGCAAGGGACGGAAGUCUGACCGAGAAACGCCGAGUGAGUGAAGAAGGUUGUCGGAUCGGAAAGCUCGGUUGUAAGAGAAGAACGAGUGUGAGAGUGGAAAGUUCACACUGUGACGGUAUCUGAACAGAAAGGGACGGCUAACUACGUG
This 495-nucleotide ribosomal RNA is filed under the name uncultured bacterium. RNAcentral's name for it is "partial 16S ribosomal RNA". It matches the Rfam family "Bacterial small subunit ribosomal RNA", at positions 28 to 507 of the family's 1533-position model. The record is from RNAcentral.